UACGAAGGGGGCAAGCGUUGUUCGGAUUUACUGGGCGUAAAGGGCGCGUAGGCGGAUGUGUAAGUCAGAGGUGAAAGCCCUGGGCUCAACCCGGGAAUUGCCUUUGAGACUGCAUGUCUUGAGUGUGGGAGAGGGUGGCGGAAUACCCAGUGUAGAGGUGAAAUUCGUAGAUAUUGGGUAGAACACCAGUGGCGAAGGCGGCCACCUGGCCCAUAACUGACGCUGAGGCGCGAAAGCGUGGGGAGCAAACAGG
This 253-nucleotide ribosomal RNA is filed under the name uncultured bacterium. RNAcentral describes it as "partial 16S ribosomal RNA". It matches the Rfam family "Bacterial small subunit ribosomal RNA", at positions 524 to 776 of the family's 1533-position model. The record is from RNAcentral.